Molecule: ribosomal RNA, 433 nt
Filed under: uncultured bacterium
Lineage: Bacteria
Description: partial 16S ribosomal RNA
Rfam family: Bacterial small subunit ribosomal RNA
Source: RNAcentral
AGCGAACGCUGGCGGCAGGCUUAACACAUGCAAGUCGAGCGGGCCCUUCGGGGUCAGCGGCAGACGGGUGAGUAACACGUGGGAACGUACCCUUUGGUUCGGAAUAACGCUGGGAAACUAGCGCUAAUACCGGAUACGCCCUUUUGGGGAAAGGCUUGCUGCCGAAGGAUCGGCCCGCGUCUGAUUAGCUAGUUGGUGGGGUAAUGGCCUACCAAGGCGACGAUCAGUAGCUGGUCUGAGAGGAUGAUCAGCCACACUGGGACUGAGACACGGCCCAGACUCCGACGGGAGGCAGCAGUGGGGAAUAUUGGACAAUGGGCGCAAGCCUGAUCCAGCCAUGCCGCGUGAGUGAUGAAGGCCUUAGGGUUGUAAAGCUCUUUUGUCCGGGACGAUAAUGACGGUACCGGAAGAAUAAGCCCCGGCUAACUUCGUG